This 460-nucleotide ribosomal RNA is filed under the name uncultured bacterium. Its description in RNAcentral is "partial 16S ribosomal RNA". It matches the Rfam family "Bacterial small subunit ribosomal RNA", at positions 338 to 795 of the family's 1533-position model. The record is from RNAcentral.
CCUACGGGAGGCAGCAGUGAGGAAUAUUGGUCAAUGGGCGCUAGCCUGAACCAGCCAAGUAGCGUGAAGGAUGAAUGCCCUAUGGGUUGUAAACUUCUUUUAUAUGGGAAUAAAGUGCAGUAUGUAUACUGCUUUGCAUGUACCUUAUGCAUAAGAAUCGGCUAACUCCGUGCCAGCAGCCGCGGUAAUACGGAGGAUCCGAGCGUUAUCCGGAUUUAUUGGGUUUAAAGGGAGCGUAGGCGGGUUGUUAAGUCGGUUGUGAAAUUUUGCGGCUCAACCGUAAAAUUGCAGUUGAUACUGGCAGGCUUGAGUACAGUAGAGGUAGGCGGAAUUCGUGGUGUAGCGGUGAAAUGCGUAGAGAUCACGAAGAACGCCGAUGGCGAAGGCGGCCUGCUGGACUGUAACUGACGCUGAGGCGCGAAAGUGUGGGUAGCAAACAGGAUUAGAUACCCGAGUAGUC